GAAAUGCGAUGAGUAGUAUGAAUUGCAGAAUUCAGUGAAUCAUCGAAUCUUUGAACGAACAUUGCGCCCCGUGGUAUUCCAUGGGGCAUGCCUGUUCGAGCGUCAUUUGUACCCUCAAGCUUUGCUUGGUGUUGGGUGUUUGUCCUCUCUGGAGGACUCGCCUCAAAACAAUUGGCAGCCGGCAUAUUGGUAUCGGAGCGCAGCACAAAUCGCGCUUCUUUCCAUCAAUGUCAGCAUCCAUCAAGGCUAUUUUCACUCUUGACCUCGGGUCAGGUAGGGAUACCCGCUGAACUCAA
RNAcentral lists this unclassified non-coding RNA (296 nucleotides) under uncultured fungus. RNAcentral's name for it is "sequence contains ITS1". The stretch from base 1 to 105 matches the Rfam family "5.8S ribosomal RNA", at positions 50 to 154 of the family's 154-position model. The record is from RNAcentral. Lineage: Eukaryota; Fungi.